UACAGAGGUCCCAAGCGUUGUUCGGAUUCAUUGGGCGUAAAGGGUGCGUAGGCGGCGCGGUAAGUCGGGUGUGAAAUCUCGGAGCUUAACUCCGAAACUGCAUUCGAUACUGCCGUGCUUGAGGACCGGAGAGGAGACUGGAAUUUACGGUGUAGCGGUGAAAUGCGUAGAUAUCGUAAGGAAGACCAGUGGCGAAGGCGGAUCUCUGGACAGCUACUGACACUGAGGCACGAAGGCCAGGGGAGCAAACGGG
Molecule: ribosomal RNA, 253 nt
Filed under: uncultured bacterium
Lineage: Bacteria
Description: partial 16S ribosomal RNA
Rfam family: Bacterial small subunit ribosomal RNA
Source: RNAcentral